UACGUAGGUGGCAAGCGUUGUCCGGAAUUAUUGGGCGUAAAGGGCGCGUAGGCGAUCCUGUAAGUCUCGUGUGAAAUCCCAGGGCUUAACCCUGGAAUGGCAAGAGAAACUGCUGGAAUUGAGUUCCGGAGAGGAAGGCAGAAUUCCCGGUGUAGCGGUGAAAUGCGUAGAUAUCGGGAGGAAUACCAGUGGCGAAGGCGGCCUUCUGGACGGAUACUGACGCUGAGGCGCGAAAGCCAGGGGAGCAAACGGG
Molecule: ribosomal RNA, 253 nt
Filed under: uncultured bacterium
Lineage: Bacteria
Description: partial 16S ribosomal RNA
Rfam family: Bacterial small subunit ribosomal RNA
Source: RNAcentral